CCCAAGCCCUAUUUGCAUUGAAAGAAGAACUCAUCUGAUUCACUUUUCUGUUCUCACUUCUUUUCGCGCGCUCAGCAGCAGCCAAUAAGGCAACAACCGCCUCUCACUCUCACCGGAGCAGCAAUCGCCGGCGACCAGAAGGCAGUGUAUCUCUCAGUCUCUCUUCUCAGCACAAGUAGGAAAAAACUGUGUUGCUGGCUUGAUGCCUGAAAUGUAUUCACCAAAUGAACAUACUCACACAGACCCACUUGCUGAAAACAAUCUUCAGCCAUUCUUCGUGCUGCACAAGGCAUCAAAGUCUUCAGAGUCUACUGCAAUAUCUCCCGGAAGACCUACCAAAAGAAGACUUGACUCUUCACCAAAAGUAUCAUUAAACAAUGAGAACGUGAAAAUGGAAGCUUUUCAGUGUGUAUGGUCAAAAAUUGAAUCCAAGAUUAAGGAUGUCUUGAGGAGUAUAAAUGCCGACGUGUUUGAUGAGAUAGGACAAUGGGUUCGUGAAUCUUUUAAUGAAAUUUGUUCGUGUAGAGGGCCUGUUGAUCCAUCAAAGUCAAGUCUUCCAUACCCUUUUGUUCAUAAUGGUGGUUUAGUUAAAAAGCUCUUCACUGGUCUGGUCUUCACCAAGAAUAUUGAAACUGUCGAUGACAUAUUAACUUUUGCUGAACUUGGUUUAAACUUGAAAUCUCGUGGAUGCUAUGUGGCUAAUAUUUCCUCCUUGGAUUUUUCUACCAAGAAUGGCAUUGGGGGCAGUCUCAGAGCGUUUCUGAGACAAUUGCUUAUGGUUGACAUUGAAGCAGCUGAUAUUUCGCUCUUAGCAUCAUGGUAUAGUGACCAUGGCAAGUAUGAGAAACCAGUGGUUGUAAUUAUUGAGGAUAUGGAGAGGUGUUCUGGGGCUCUCUUGUCAGAUUUCAUCAAUAUGUUAAGUGAAUGGUCUGUUAAGAUUCCAAUCAUCCUAAUUGCUGGUGUUGCUACAAGUGCUGAUGCUCCCAGAAAUGUGCUCACUGCUCGUGCACUUCAAUAUUUGUCUACAUCAAUAUUCUCUCUGAAAUGCCCAGCUGAAAAGUUGGAUACAAUCAUUGAGGCUGUUCUAGUAAAAAAUUGUGCUGGCUUCAGUGUUGGCCACAAGGUGGCGACUUUCUUGAGGAACUAUUUUUUGAGACAAGAUGGAACUGUUACUUCAUUUGUUAGAGCCUUAAAGAUGGCAAUAAUCCAACAACUUUCCAUCGAGCCUCUUAGCUUUGUGCUCAAGCUUUUAGUUGAUGAGGGAGAUAGUAAGAGGUCAUGGUAUGAGGAUCUUGCUAAUUUGCCAGAGGAAUUGAUAAAGCAUUCUUUUGAGCUUCCAUCUUACAGGAAAUAUUCAGUAAAUCGGAAUAAUCAUGUAGAACUAAAUGCUAUGAGUCUAGGCCAUGGACUAUCAGAAAUGCAGAGGCUGCAGGAACUAUGGAGAUCUCGCCUUAUGUGUUUAUAUGAAGCUGGAAGGUACCAUAAAGUUGCAUUGCUGGACUUGUAUUUGGAGGCAUUAGAUCCUGAGUUAUACAACUCCAGGUUAUCUAAUCAAGGCUGUGAUAGUGCAAAAGAUAGGAGCUUGUUGUCAAAUAAUGAUAAACUUUUCAAGCUACAAAAGGCUGAGGUUACCAAUCAAGUCAUCCGCAAAAUAAGGGAUCUACCAGCUGCGAAGCUAUCCCAGUUGCUUAAGAGUUGGGAGAGGCUCACCAAAGGGACAAUGGAGGUUCAUGAGAAGAUUAUGGAGCUACAGUCUCAAAUGGUAUCAGAGGAUGUCAAAAGUCACAAAGCAGAAUUAACUGAUAUAUCAAAGAGACAUAUCAAUCGACGCUGUUUAAAUGUGGAGAAAGAUGCAUGCACAUCAAAUGACAAAGCUGUGACUUUAGCAGGUCAAAUGAUAAGGGACACCAUGCAGCCCAUUGAGUGUAUACCAUUUCAUGAACUUAUUUGCUUCAAGGAUGUUGACAAUCUCCAAUCAGUUAAGUUUCCUGAUUUUCAUUCAAGACAUGACCGAUCACAGUAGUAUGCUUCUAUAUUUAUCAUCUGCACUUCAAUCUAAAGACAUGCGUGCUUACUUAAGGGUUUCUGGUAAUUAAAAUUUCCUUUGUGCUUCAUUCACCUCAAUCUUUUUUCCCAGCAAGCACAUGGUUACCUAGUAAGUAUAAUUACUAUUACUAUUUGAAGUGCGACAGUUCUUGUAACCUGGUAAAGUUUGAUGCUGAUUGCAUUAUACUAUGUUUAAUAGAUAUCUUAACUGUAGCUAUCAACUUUGUCGUUAGUCAGACCAAGUUUCAGGAAUACCUUUGUAUUUUGAUCUCAUAUGUGCAAGAAGUUAGAUAGUUCAACUUAUGGUACUAUUGGUAAUUCUAAAAUAAUGUGUUUAUUACUUGCUUUUGCAUUUUCCAUAGUUUUCUUUUCUUUUUCUUAUUUUCUUGUCGAUGGUGAACCAGAAAUCAAGGUUAUUAAGAUAGGGUAAGUAUGAUGUUUUUGUGAAUUUAUAAGUCAAGAUCAAUUUAUUUUGGCCGUAAUUCUUUGAUAACAAGGGAUGGCCUAGUGGAAAUGAACCUCUACCUCCAAUCAUAAUGUUGGGUUCGAGUCAACAAGAGAGCAAAAUGGGAAAGAUCAGCCACCCAGAUGAGACUCCCGCUGAAAAACUUUCUUUUUCCGGGGAAAGAACCCGUAUUUGGCUCCUGCCUUGGGGGGUAUGGCUUUGCCAUGUCACCUAUGCUUUGGCUGGUGAUCCAAGAAGAAGAAUUCAAAUUGAUCUCUUGAAUUUCUACAAAAUUCUCAAGUGUGGAUGUUGCAGCAAUAGUGGUGGUACACUUUCACCAUCUGUGCAUGAUACCUCAAUAAUGUAUACACUGGCUCAAGAGCAUGGUGAUCUCAUUAAUCUUCAUGACUGGUUUCAAUCUUUUAAAGCAUCUAUUUCAAGCUCAGGAAAGAAAGGGUUGAAGAAGUUGGCCUCACCGAAGAAAAGAAAGGAGAACACCUCUUCUCAAAACAAUUCUGAUGCAUUGUUGCAAGCAAGGUUUUGCAGAGCUGUGAUGGAGCUGCAGAUUACAGGGUUGCUUCGUAUGCCAAGCAAACGGCGCCCUGACUGUGUGCAGAGAGUGGCUUUUGGAGUGUAAUCAUAUUAUAUUAAAACUGGAAAGUUCAUUGGAUUAUGUUUUUGCCCCACUAUAAUUAAAAUGUUGUAAAACAUAUAAUUAUAUUAUCAUUUGAAGUACAUGAAUGUGUAAUGAUUUUUUGACUUCAUUCAA
Solanum tuberosum (potato) is the source of this 3260-nucleotide RNA transcript. It is a transcript of the gene named origin of replication complex subunit 3, with no coding region annotated. Lineage: Eukaryota; Viridiplantae; Streptophyta; Magnoliopsida; Solanales; Solanaceae. The record is from RefSeq and is a predicted model, not a curated record. The transcript has 18 exons.